AUAAUGGUGUUACUUGUUUGUAUGAA
This 26-nucleotide small RNA is filed under the name Arabidopsis thaliana (thale cress). RNAcentral describes it as "ATSL081090". The record is from RNAcentral. Lineage: Eukaryota; Viridiplantae; Streptophyta; Magnoliopsida; Brassicales; Brassicaceae.